AAGACUAUAGACCUGCGGAGUACCUGCGGAGGGAUCAUUAGUGGACGCCCUCACGGGCUUAUAACUAUUCCAAACCUCUGUGAACCGUGCCCUUCGGGGCUAUUUUACAAACAUGGUGUAAUGAACGUCAUAUAUCAUAACAAAACAAAACUUUCAACAAUGGAUCUCU
Molecule: unclassified non-coding RNA, 169 nt
Filed under: soil metagenome
Description: partial contains 5.8S ribosomal RNA, internal transcribed spacer 2, and large subunit ribosomal RNA
Source: RNAcentral